Molecule: ribosomal RNA, 254 nt
Filed under: uncultured bacterium
Lineage: Bacteria
Description: partial 16S ribosomal RNA
Rfam family: Bacterial small subunit ribosomal RNA
Source: RNAcentral
UACAGAGGUCCCAAGCGUUGUUCGGAUUCACUGGGCGUAAAGGGUGCGUAGGUGGUGAGGUAAGUCGGAUGUGAAAUCUCCGGGCUCAACCCGGAAAUGGCAUUGGAAACUACCUUGCUUGAGGAUUUGAGGGGCAACUGGAAUUCUCGGUGUAGCGGUGAAAUGCGUAGAUAUCGAGAGGAACACCUGCGGCGAAGGCGGGGUUGCUGGGCUGACACUGACGCUGAAGCGCGAAAGCUAGGGGAGCGAACGGG